UACGUAGGGUGCGAGCGUUGCUCGGAAUGACUGGGCGUAAAGGGCGCGUAGGCGGAUUGCUUUGUCGGGCGUGAAAUUCCAGGGCUUAACCUUGGGGCUGCGUUCGAGACGGGUGAUCUUGAGUUCGGAAGAGGGUCGUGGAAUUCCCAGUGUAGAGGUGAAAUUCGUAGAUAUUGGGAAGAACACCGGUGGCGAAGGCGGCGACCUGGUCCGAGACUGACGCUGAGGCGCGAAAGCGUGGGGAGCAAACAGG
This 253-nucleotide ribosomal RNA is filed under the name uncultured bacterium. RNAcentral's name for it is "partial 16S ribosomal RNA". It matches the Rfam family "Bacterial small subunit ribosomal RNA", at positions 524 to 776 of the family's 1533-position model. The record is from RNAcentral.